Molecule: ribosomal RNA, 430 nt
Filed under: uncultured bacterium
Lineage: Bacteria
Description: bacterial SSU rRNA
Rfam family: Bacterial small subunit ribosomal RNA
Source: RNAcentral
UAGGGAAUCUUGCACAAUGGGCGAAAGCCUGAUGCAGCGAUGCCGCGUGAGUGAAGAAGGCCUUUGGGUUGUAAAGCUCUUUCGGCCGGGAAGAAGGGUUUACUUGUGAAUAAUUAGUAAAUUUGACUGUACCGGAAGAAGAAGUACCUGCCAACUACGUGCCAGCAGCAGCGGUAAUACGUAGGGUACAAGCGUUACUCGGAAUCACUGGGCGUAAAGCGCAUGUAGGCGGGUCUGAAAGUCGAUUGUGAAAGCCCUGGGCUCAACCUGGGAAUGGCAGUCGAUACUGCAGAUCUUGAAUGUUCGAGAGGAUGGCAGAAUUCCUGGUGUAGAAGUGAAAUUCGUAGAUAUCAGGAGGAAUACCGGUGGUGAAGACGGCUGUCUGGCGAAACAUUGACGCUGAGGUGCGAAAGUGCGGGGAUCAAACAGG